RNAcentral lists this transfer RNA (74 nucleotides) under Paragonimus skrjabini miyazakii. Its description in RNAcentral is "Paragonimus miyazakii tRNA". It matches the Rfam family "tRNA". Rfam says of the family: Transfer RNA (tRNA) molecules are approximately 80 nucleotides in length. Their secondary structure includes four short double-helical elements and three loops (D, anti-codon, and T loops). Further hydrogen bonds mediate the characteristic L-shaped molecular structure. tRNAs have two regions of fundamental functional importance: the anti-codon, which is responsible for specific mRNA codon recognition, and the 3' end, to which the tRNAs corresponding amino acid is attached (by aminoacyl-tRNA synthetases). tRNAs cope with the degeneracy of the genetic code in two manners: having more than one tRNA (with a specific anti-codon) for a particular amino acid; and 'wobble' base-pairing, i.e. permitting non-standard base-pairing at the 3rd anti-codon position. Lineage: Eukaryota; Metazoa; Platyhelminthes; Trematoda; Plagiorchiida; Troglotrematidae. The record is from Rfam by way of RNAcentral.
GCCCUUGUGGCGCAAUCGGUUAGCGCGUUCGGCUGUUAACCGAAAGGUUGGUGGUUCGAGCCCAACCAAGGAGG